UGAAGAAAAAUGCAUGAUCUGCCUUCCAAC
This 30-nucleotide non-coding RNA is filed under the name Mus musculus (house mouse). Lineage: Eukaryota; Metazoa; Chordata; Mammalia; Rodentia; Muridae. The record is from RNAcentral.